GCAAGUCGAACGCGAACGUACCUUCGGGUGCAAGUAGAGUGGCGGACGGGUGAGUAACGCGUGGGAAUCUGCCCAGUAGUGGGGGACAACUACCGGAAACGGUAGCUAAUACCGCAUACGCCCUACGGGGGAAAGGCUUCGGCCGCUAUUGGAUGAGCCCGCGUCAGAUUAGCUGGUUGGUAAGGUAAUGGCUUACCAAGGCUACGAUCAGUAGCUGGUCUGAGAGGAUGAUC
Molecule: ribosomal RNA, 233 nt
Filed under: uncultured bacterium
Lineage: Bacteria
Description: partial 16S ribosomal RNA
Rfam family: Bacterial small subunit ribosomal RNA
Source: RNAcentral